CCCUAGAGGAAGCCGCGUCGGGUCCAAAGCCAAAAACCAAGAGGAGCAGGGACAGGAGGUGGGAGCCUCCUCGGCGGGAUCCGCUGGCUAAAUCCAUCUGUCCUGAAUCGCCCGCAAAGUUUCACAAGUCUGGGAUGAUAACUAUCUGAGCCCUGAAAGGCUUGGAGCCUUCAUCUGGAAUAUGGAGUCCUUUUUCUGUGUGCUGCCAACUGAGAACAUGGAAGAUGAAGACUGAAGCUGUUAUUCCUCUUCCUUGUAUCUGUGUGUGGUCCACAGCUGGGUCCUGUGCUGCUUCAAAAUCAGAGAGAGAUAGGACAUCUAGGAAAAGCUCUGAGUGGUGGUGGUGCUGUGUCCUAUAAAUAUGGUCUAAGAGGUAUUGGAUCACCCACAACUGAGCUCUACAGUCUAUCUCUAGAGUGGAUGUCUACCUUCCACUCUACCUUCACAAAAGCUGCCAGUUGAACUAAAGUAAUUGUGUUUUGUUAAAUAUUUAACAGUUGGCUCUGAAAAAAAUUUUUCAAAGCUCAAUUUUAAAUUUAAUCAUCAUUAUUAAUGUUUUCUCCAUCACAUUAAGUCUAGACAAUGAACAAAACAAUAAAUCAAGCCAUGAUUUAUCAUGUUUGUCAGUUUCUGAGGUGUCAAUUCAACAACUAGUUCUCUCUAGCCAGGAUGAACUAGCUCUAUCCCACCCCUGAACUCAGAUAUCCUUUCUAUAAGUCCAAGGUUCUUCCCACUCCACAAUAAGAUUAAGAAAAUCUUCUUUGAAACUGAUCCCAUUUCUGGAGGAGAAGAUGCCAAAAGCACAGGGGGAAAAAAUCAAAUUCUAUUAAUUCAAAACAAAUAUGUUGGAGUAAAUAUUUUUAAACUAUCAACUUAUAUGCCUUC
This is a non-coding RNA of Monodelphis domestica (gray short-tailed opossum), 885 nucleotides long. NCBI's taxonomy places the organism in Eukaryota, Metazoa, Chordata, Mammalia, Didelphimorphia, Didelphidae. The record is from RefSeq and is a predicted model, not a curated record.